CCUACGGGGCGCUGCAGUGGGGAAUAUUGCACAAUGGGGGAAACCCUGAUGCAGCAACGCCGCGUGAGUGAAGAAGUAUUUCGGCAUGUAAAGCUCUAUCAGCAGGGAAGAAGAAAGACGGUACCUGACUAAGAAGCCCCGGCUAGCAACGUGCCAGCAGCCGCGGUAAUACGUAGGGGGCAAGAGUUAUCCGGAUUUACGGGGUGUAAGGGGAGCGUAGACGGCUGUGCAAGUCUGAAGUGAAAGCCCGUGGCACAACCGCGGAAAUGCUGUGGAAACUGUAUAGCUUGAGUACUGGAGAGGCAGGCGGAAUUCCUGGUGUAGCGGUGAAAUGCGUAGAUAUUAGGAGGAACACCAGUGGCGAAGGCGGCCUGCUGGACAGAAACUGACGUUGAGGCUCGAAAGCGUGGGGAGCAAACAGGAUUAGAUACCCCAGUAGUC
Molecule: ribosomal RNA, 441 nt
Filed under: uncultured bacterium
Lineage: Bacteria
Description: partial 16S ribosomal RNA
Rfam family: Bacterial small subunit ribosomal RNA
Source: RNAcentral